This 492-nucleotide ribosomal RNA is filed under the name uncultured bacterium. RNAcentral describes it as "partial 16S ribosomal RNA". It matches the Rfam family "Bacterial small subunit ribosomal RNA", at positions 28 to 507 of the family's 1533-position model. The record is from RNAcentral.
GAUGAACGCUAGCUACAGGCUUAACACAUGCAAGUCGAGGGGAAGCGGCAUCGAAAGCUUGCUUUUGAUGGGCGUCGACCGGCGCACGGGUGAGUAACGCGUAUCCAACCUGCCCAUCACUUGGGAAUAACCUUGCGAAAGUAAGACUAAUGCCCAAUGACAUCCCACGAAGGCAUCCGAAUGGGAUUAAAGAUUUAUCGGUGAUGGAUGGGGAUGCGUCUGAUUAGCUUGUUGGCGGGGUGACGGCCCACCAAGGCAACGAUCGGUAGGGGUUCUGAGAGGAAGGUCCCCCACAUUGGAACUGAGACACGGUCCAAACUCCUACGGGAGGCAGCAGUGAGGAAUAUUGGUCAAUGGGCGAGAGCCUGAACCAGCCAAGUAGCGUGCAGGAUGACGGCCCUAUGGGUUGUAAACUGCUUUUAUAAGGGAAUAAAGUGGGUCACGUGUGACUUUUUGCAUGUACCUUAUGAAUAAGGACCGGCUAAUUCCGUG